Long non-coding RNA from Alosa sapidissima (American shad), 126 nucleotides. RefSeq lists it as uncharacterized. The transcript has 3 exons. The record is from RefSeq and is a predicted model, not a curated record. NCBI's taxonomy places the organism in Eukaryota, Metazoa, Chordata, Actinopteri, Clupeiformes, Clupeidae.
UGUACGUAUUCAAAGUAUCUACUAACAGUGUUGGGAAUGUUACUUUAAAACAGUAAUUAGUUAUAGUUACUCACUACUUGUUCCAAAAAGUAACUAAGUUAGUAACUGAAUUACUCUAUGAUAAGA